Molecule: ribosomal RNA, 254 nt
Filed under: uncultured bacterium
Lineage: Bacteria
Description: partial 16S ribosomal RNA
Rfam family: Archaeal small subunit ribosomal RNA
Source: RNAcentral
UACCAGCACCCCGAGUGGUCGGGACGAUUAUUGGGCCUAAAGCAUCCGUAGCCGGUCAUGCAAGUCUUCCGUUAAAUCCAGCCGCUCAACGGUUGGGCUGCGGAGGAUACUACGUGGCUAGGAGGCGGGAGAGGCAAGCGGUACUCAGUGGGUAGGGGUAAAACCCUUUGAUCCAUUGAAGACCACCAGUGGCGAAGGCGGCUUGCCAGAACGCGCUCGACGGUGAGGGAUGAAAGCUGGGGGAGCAAAGCCGG